Molecule: ribosomal RNA, 542 nt
Filed under: uncultured bacterium
Lineage: Bacteria
Description: bacterial SSU rRNA
Rfam family: Bacterial small subunit ribosomal RNA
Source: RNAcentral
GACGAACGCUGGCGGCGUGCCUAAUACAUGCAAGUCGAACGCGUCUACGUUAAUGAAAUCAAUGUGCUUGCACGGCGAUGGAUUUAACAUUAGACGAGUGGCGAACUGGUGAGUAACACGUGGGUAACCUGCCCUCAAGCAGGGGAUAACACUUGGAAACAGGUGCUAAUACCGUAUAACAACAAAAACCGCAUGGUUUUUGUUUGAAAGAUGGUUUCGGCUAUCACUUGAGGAUGGACCCGCGGCGUAUUAGCUAGUUGGUGAGGUAAUGGCUCACCAAGGCAAUGAUACGUAGCCGACCGGAGAGGGUAAUCGGCCACAUUGGGACUGAGACACGGCCCAAACUCCUACGGGAGGCAGCAGUAGGGAAUCUUCCACAAUGGACGAAAGUCUGAUGGAGCAACGCCGCGUGAGUGAAGAAGGUUUUCGGAUCGUAAAACUCUGUUGUUGGAGAAGAACGUACGUGAGAGUAACUGUUCACGUAGUGACGGUAUCCAACCAGAAAGCCACGGCUAACUACGUGCCAGCAGCCGCCGUAAUAC